GGGAGGAGAGUGGGGAAAGGGGCACUCGGGCGAAAGCCUGAUCCAGCCAUGCCGCGCCGGUGAAGAAGGCCUUCGGGUUGUAAAGCACUUUAAGCGAGGAGGAAGGUUCGUUACUUAAUACGUAACGGAAUUGACGUUACUCCGCAGAAUAAGCACCGGCUAACUUUGUGCCAGCAGCCGCGGUAUAAAGAGGGUGCAAGCGUUAAUCGGAAUUACUGGGCGUAAAGCGCGCGUAGGCGGUUGUUGUAAGUUGGAGGUGAAAUCCCCGGGCUCAACCUGGGCAUUGCCUUCAAAACUGCACGGCUAGAGUAUUGGAGAGGAAGGUAGAAUUCCAGGUGUAGCGGUGAAAUGCGUAGAGAUCUGGAGGAAUACCGAUGGCGAAGGCAGCCUUCUGGCCAAAUACUGACGCUGAGGUGCGAAAGCAUGGGGAGCAAACAGGAUUAGAUACCCUGGUAGUCCAUGCCGUAAACGAUGUCAACUAGGUGUUGGGGAACUUGAUUCCUUAGUGCCGCAGCUAACGCAUUAAGUUGACCGCCUGGGGAGUACGGUCGCAAGACUAAAACUCAAAUGAAUUGACGGGGGCCCGCACAAGCGGUGGAGCAUGUGGUUUAAUUUCGAUGCAACGCGAAGAACCUUUACCUACUCUUGACAUCCAGAGAAUCCUGGUAGAGAUACGGGAGUGCCUUUCGGGAAUUCUGAGACAGGUGCUGCAUGCUGUCGUCAGCUCGUGUCGUGAGAUGUUGGUUUAAGUCCCGCAACGAGCGCAACCCUUAUCCUUAGUCCCCAGCACGUAAUGGUGGAACUCUAGGGAGACUGGCCGGUGACAAACCGGAGGGAAGGCGGGGACGACGUCAAGUCAUCAUGGCCCUUACGAGUAGGGCUACACACGUGGCUACAAUGGUCCGGUACAAAGGGUUGCUAGCCCGCGAGGGUCACGCCAAUCUCAAAAAGCCGAUCGUGAAGGUCCGGAUUGGAGUCUGCAACUCGACUCCAUGAAGUCGGAAUCGCUAGUAAUCGCGGAUCCGAAUGCCGCGGCGGUAACGUUCCC
This 1048-nucleotide ribosomal RNA is filed under the name uncultured Gammaproteobacteria bacterium. RNAcentral describes it as "bacterial SSU rRNA". It matches the Rfam family "Bacterial small subunit ribosomal RNA", at positions 343 to 1375 of the family's 1533-position model. Lineage: Bacteria; Pseudomonadati; Pseudomonadota; Gammaproteobacteria. The record is from RNAcentral.